AUUCACUGUUCUAUGACUAAAAUUGGAAUAAUACUGAGAAAAUUAGCAUAACCUUUGCACAAGGAUGGCAUGCAGAUUUGUGAACGGUUCCGUGUUUUU
RNAcentral lists this small nuclear RNA (99 nucleotides) under Procavia capensis (Cape rock hyrax). The record is from RNAcentral. Lineage: Eukaryota; Metazoa; Chordata; Mammalia; Hyracoidea; Procaviidae.